CCCUCCUCCAAGCGGCCUUUGAUUUGCGUCAGCGGAACGCGAGGUAAAGCUAUAAAUAUCAGGAGUCGGUUUAUUUCAUCGUUCCUUCGUACCAGGAGUGCCUCCCUCGGUCUUUCUUUCCCGAGCUGCGGCCAUGGCGUCGGAGGGGGGGGGGGGGGGGGGGGGCUCCCUCCUCUACAACGCAGUCCGCUCCAUCUUCAUCGGUCCCUGGACGGACGGACCUCCCCCUCCUCGCCAACCUCCACUGCGGCCUCUGGCACUCUCCCCGUUUCGUGGCCACCUGAUGCUUUAAGUCCAUCGAAGGCCACACCAACAACUGGUCCUUCGGCACCUCUCGCCUCGACCUCCACGUUGCCCACCUCGCCGGUAGUCCUUAACAAGGUCAAACCACUAAUCAUAGCAUUGCUGAUGGUGACACCGCUUUGAAUGCCAUCCAGCAUCAGAUUACAAAAGUUUCUGCUGGUGACACAAUAUCUAUUAACAGGUUUGAUGUCUUCAUACUUUGAUUAACUUAUUUACUUCAUCUGUGUAGUUCUUGAACUGUCUGCUAAUCUGAUUGUUUCUUGUUUCGUUUGCAUAUCGAUUUGUCCUUUCGGAUAAAUCAUAAAUUUGAGCUUGCAUUGCUUCCCUUGGUGUUGGAAUCCUGUAGGGGAAGACUAAUAGAAAUGAAAACUGCUGCAUACAUGGUUCCCAUUCAUCAGUUCCACGACAUAUAAGAGCUCCUUUGUGCUUGCUUUCAAAAGAUCAAACUUUAAAUUGCUUGGUGAGAGAUAGACAGACACAGCAGAAUUAUGAGGGUAAUUGCAAUGCAUGAUAUCAGGAGACAUGUCCCAUGGUACCAACACAAUCUUCACCUUGCAAUAAGAGGCGAACGUGCUGAUCCUGUUACAAGGAAGUGCUUUUCGCCAACUUUACUAGAAAGUGGAGGAGCGUGAUGAAGGCCACAUUUAUGGCUUUCAUCUACAAUCGAGGACACCUUCCUUCAAGGAGGGCGAUCUUGAAGUUGAGUUGUUAUAUAUGGUGCAAGAAUCAAGAAUCAGUUAUGAUAUAACUAGCAUUGGUUUAUGGUCCUAUAUAAGCGUAAUGCAUAUGACUGUGCUGUCUUUUAAUAAUGAAAAUUUUGCUUGCAGUUUGUACCAUUUUUCAGAUUGAAGUUCCCUUCUAGAAUACUAGAAAAAGCUAAACUGCUAUGCUGUUUUGUACCACUCGGAGUUGGUCUUAAUAUGGUACUAACUGAAGAUUAAAACUGUGCUAUGGAACUAGAGAUCAUCAAAAUAGAAAUGUUUGUUGUCAUAUUUAAACUGCCCAAGCAAGAUCAUUCUGUGAACCAGAGACUUAACUUUGGUAUCCCAAGAAUUGAAAAACUUUAUGGACAACCAAACAUGGUAGUAUCGCUUAUUGUGAUAUAAAAAUUUCAAAACUAGUAGCUUGAAAAGUUCUUGGUCAUAGAAUAGAAUUACUAUUAAAGAAAAGUAAUAAUGAUAACAAAUUUUCAGGAUACUCAACCCUUUUCAGUAUGCUAUGUUGAAUUUGUUGUUAUUCUACUGAUCUGAAGGAACAAACUCUUAGGGAGGCAGAAUCUAAAUGCUCAGUUAUACAUAUCGAAUUUUUAUAAUUGCAAAAAAAUGUUGGAACUAUAAUUAGAAAUCGUAUUUAGAUUGGUUUUUGGUAAGGUUAUAACCUUUCCCAUGGAAUGGUUUUUGGAGUAGCCAAUCAAUAGGUAGGUCUUCAUGAUAAUGCAUGAUCAUGAAAUAAAUGAUCAUUGCCUGGUUGCUCUUAAGAAACUUCAUGCAAGUGCUUUAAAGCACUGGAAGUUGGGGCAUAUUGAUUUGGUGUCUAAGCAUACUUGUGCAUCAAUAAAACAUUACAGCAUGCCUAGUUUUCUGAUCCUCAACAAUUUUGUCAAAUUUCUCAUUCCUUCGAAGAAAUUCAGAUCUAUAAUUUAUUGUUUCUUAUAUAUCCUGUGACAAACAGAAUAUAACAUACGAGAACCACCAUCAAAAUGGCUUUAAAUAUGAUGCCCGGCGUUUGAAGAUGCUAUUAGAUAAAGUUAAGGGGGUAAUGAUUUUUUUUUUGUUUGCAAGUGCAUUAUUUUCUGCAGAUAUUGAAGUAUGAACGGUUCAUUUCAACAUAAAAUAAAAAAGAUAGCAUCUAUUCAGUUGCAUACGGAAACACAAAUUUAAUUUCUAUCUGUUUUUAGAGUAGAUUUAUGGUUCAUGCUUUGCCAUUAUUUCCUGUUCAGGCUAUGACUUCCCACUGCUUUGCCAUUAUUCAAUUACAUAGGGAAACACAAUAUUUGAAGUGGUUUCAAGUUUCUUCUCACUGCUUACCUGCAAGUUUACUGUUUUCGUGUUCUCAUCAUCAAACCGUCUAUUUGAAUUCAUGAAUUCAACACCUCAUGGGAGAGCUGCAAUUUGUCAAACCAUUUCUCUUUAUAAAUGCUCUGUUAUGCAUUUGACUUUUGGUUCUAUCAAACCUAGUCAACUAGUCUUACCAAAUUUCCACUUCAACAUAUUAUAUCUGCCAUAGGAACCUUCCCCCAUUUUUUUCUUGUGAAUGUAUUUGGAUAAAGAAACAACAAUUCUGCUAAAGGUAAGGAGGCUAUGGGAAACAUGAUCGUGGCUAAAAUUGUAUACAUGUCGAUGGAUUUCAAAUUGCUUCCUGGAAUAAGUGAUAAUAACCAUGUUUUUCAUUGUGGAAUGGAAAAAAUAAAGUGUAUUAAGUCCAUAAUCUGUUGCUAUCUUAUACUUCUAUUCUUCAGCUUUCACUGUUGAUGUUCUGCUAUCUUUACUUCAACCUCUCAUUUAUUUCCUUAUGUUCUUCUAGUAUUUUUUGGACAGAGAUGUACAACUGAAUCUCAUCUUUUUAGGGUGUGAAGGCCUGUGAAGGAAAGCUGAUGAGUGAUGUCAGGUGAAAGCAUCACCUAUCUGGCUUUUGUUGUAGUUGCAUUCUCAGAUCCAUGCAUUACUGGGCUCUGUGUAGUUCCUUGCUCAGAGUGAAUUUGCUGAUUAGGCUAGUUGCUCUCUUUUUAUGCCAUUUAGUACACAUCUAAUUUCCAGUUCUUUGUUAGUAAUUUUAUGUAAUUCUUACCCUUUAUCAAUCCAGGUUACAUGAUUGUUCUCAGAUGGUCUUAUAUGGGGUAUAGAUUUAUGAUCUUUUUAUAAUAUUUAGACAAGAUAGAAGCAAUGACAGUCAUCCACAACAGAACACAUAAAUCUAACUAUGAUCAGUAAGUACGGUUUUGCGCUGAAACUUCACUUCUAUGAUUUCUGAAGUAGCUUCUUUUGAAAUGAUGUCAUGCAUUUCCCGAUGUGGAGUUUAGAUCUAUGAUGUUUUUACAAUAUUACAUAAGAUAAAAGUAAGAAAAGUCCUUCAGAACAGAAGGCAUAAAUCAAACUAUGAUCAGUAUGGUUGCGGUGAAACUCCUCUUCCGUGAUUUCUGAAGUAGCUUCUCUUCUGUCUCACAUUUCCCAUUUAAUCAAUACGUGUUUCCACCAAUUCAUGUAUCUUUUUUCUCAGUUCGUUGUUUGGUGUUCAGAAUUUUACAUUUAUGGACAGGUAUGGAUGAACUACCAGUAACUGAUAUAUACCAACUAUAAUUUUUUCUUUCUAAAUGUUUGCUCUUUCUUGGGUAGUCAUGAUUAGCCGAAACUUUAGAAAGAAUGAGGGGAAUUCACUCAAGAUGUCAUCUUUGUGAUGAGAACGGUGUUCACCGUUCAGUUUAGAUUUUUUAAAUUUAAGCUUUGCUGCCAUUUAACUUGAAGGAUAUAACUACACUAUUUAAACUGGUUCAUGAACGCAUGCGGUCUCUUGAACCUCGAAAACUAAUAUUACUUGAUGUUUGAACGUGUGCGCUUCUGGUUCCUCCAGUUCAGUGCGGCUCUUGACACAAACCACUGAGGGACUGCCAUAUGUCUUCCCUUGCAAUACCUACAGGGUUCUUGACCGUUGAAUUUGUAGCGAACAUCCAAUGAAGUGCAUGCGUGUCUUAAAGCGAAAACAAUCUGGAAUGCACUAGCUAAAUGGAGUGGCGUGCCUCUGAGAAGCCAUAGGAUUGAGCGUGGUCAGAGAGCGACAAAGAGAUGCCUGGGCCUAACAUCGGAAUCCUGGGUGGGCUGUCUGGUGGAGUCUGAGGCCACCAUGGGAUAUUGUUUUUAUGAGAAUCAAUCCUAUGCAUUCGGUACCUAAAUGCAGAAUGCCUCACGACCUUCAUUGGCAGCAUUGAAUCCAGAAAUUGGCCUUCUGUCACCACCGUGGUUUCAGUCCAUGUUACAUGGACUCGGGAUUGUGUGCUGGGUACGAGUACCAAGUGCACGUUGUGUUUUUGAUCUUUUCAGUACCUAAGAUUUUUUUUUCUGACAGAACCAUAUCAGAGUAUCAUGCUAUAGUGUCUAGAUUUAGGUGUCGGGUGCAGGUAUCUAGGGUAACUUGGAGGGUACGGGUAGCAUAGGUUUCAGUAGAUGCUGGGUGAUGGUAGUCUCGGAAUUUGGACAGUGAACUGGGUGGCCAAAAAUUCUGUUCAAAUCUAUUGCCUGCCUGCUGACGGCAAAAACAAUGAACUUCGUGAAUAUUAUAUUAGCAAUAUUAUACCUCGGUAAUGGCUUAGAGCUCCACCAUCGAACUUCGUGAACCAUAUUUUGCUGGUUUUUUUAUGUUGUAAACAUGCUUUAUACGCGUUAUCAUGUGUAUUUCCCAAGAUACUCUGUAAAGCUUGUGUCAUUAAAAAUAGGCCCCCUUGAUUUUUUAUUGUAUUAUGGUUAUGUAUUUAUGUUUUUUAUUAGUAACCAUGACUAGGUUGCUGUGUUAAACUGUUAAUUUGACAGCUAGGCCAGAGGGCGCGACUGUUAAUUUCAUGACAUGGAACUUAUUUGUUCAAAUAACGGCUCCAUCCUGCAGGUUAUCAAGGGAUCUAAUUAUUUCCGUUUAGCUUUAUUUUUUCUACUGAGGAACAUAUUUGCUUAGAAAUGUUUGGUUGAUAGAAUGAAUCAAGGCGGCAUCCGUAAUUGUUGCUUCCAAAUAAAGAUAUUAAAAAUUCUCUCUUUUACUGGCUGUGACCACAAAGUUAAUCAACUGGCAUUUAACUUUAUCGCUUCAAUUAGAGAGAGGCAAAAAAGGAUUUUCUACGGGUGCUAUUUCUACAUUGAAUGUAGGACAGUUGGAAAAAAUGAGAGUGAGUUCAGAAUUCCUUUUUUUUUUUUUUGAUAAGCUGCAACUCAAUUUAUUAAGUUUAUGCCAAACUACAUGUGCAGAGGUCAUGGAGGAUUAUAGAUAAAGAUUAUUGGGCACUGAAGGGUUAAAAAACGGAAAUAGAAAAUUACAAUAUAUAGACACCCUCUUCAGAAAAGUAGCAGCGGAAGAAACAUAAAUUUCUCCAAGAAACUAAGGGGCAGCUCAAUGAAUUCCAACUUUCUUUGCUAAGCCUGAAAAAAUUUGUAGCAAUUUAGGACUGCACCAAACCUAGUUUUGAUAUGAUUUGUAAUAAUUUAAGAUAGUCGAAAAGUGCUAUUUGAAUUUUUUAGUUUUAUAUAAAUAUUUAGAAUUGAUCUAGUGUAUAAGCGAUAUAUGAUUAAAUAUAUAUCCACACCUAGAUCUUCAUAACAUUUGCACUGUAUCUUCGGACAGACCUUUUGUGAAAACCAGCCCAUAAGACAGUGAGCUAAUGGGCCAAGCCCAACAUGGCCGGCCCAUCUGGAGACCCAGAGGUGGUGAUCGCCAGCUGAGGCGGUUACAACCGCCUGACAGCCACGAUCACCACCAUUCUUCUCCCUCACUCCCCCACACCAGGGCUAUAAGAACCUAGGAGUCUUCUCAGAGAUGCUUCAUCCCUCACCCUCUCACUGCCUCUCACUCCCUCUUUCUCCUGCUACAAGGAGCUGGAUCGGGAGCGGCGGAGGAGGAGACACCCCCAGCUCGGCACCAUAACUGAGCCGCCGGAGGAGACACAGUGGCUCGCCGGAAAGGAUUCACAGCUCCUAGGAGCUAGGUAUUGGAGAAUUGGCAUUUGAUGGACAAAUUAAGAUGAAUAGGAGAUGCUAGGAACGAGGAGCGUGACAUGC
This is a non-coding RNA of Phoenix dactylifera (date palm), 6056 nucleotides long. The record is from RefSeq and is a predicted model, not a curated record. Lineage: Eukaryota; Viridiplantae; Streptophyta; Magnoliopsida; Arecales; Arecaceae.